RNAcentral lists this ribosomal RNA (750 nucleotides) under uncultured Psychrobacter sp. Its description in RNAcentral is "bacterial SSU rRNA". It matches the Rfam family "Bacterial small subunit ribosomal RNA", at positions 39 to 764 of the family's 1533-position model. The record is from RNAcentral. Lineage: Bacteria; Pseudomonadati; Pseudomonadota; Gammaproteobacteria; Moraxellales; Moraxellaceae.
GAGGAGUGCCUGACGCAUGCAAGUACACAUGACAAGUUGAGCAGAUUCGAUGUGAGCUGUCUGCCAGGCGUGGAGCAGUGGCCGGUUGACUACCACCUAGUAAUCUUCGUAGUAGUGGGGGAUACCUCAGGGAAUCUCGAAUUACAUCCUCUUUCGCCUUACAGAAAAAAGAAAGCAGUUUUCGGCUCUCACUAUCAGAUGAGCCUAAGUCGCAUUAGCUAGAUGGUGAGGUAAAGGCUCACCAAGGCGACGAUGCAUAGCUGGUCUGAGAGGAUGAUCAGCCACACCGGGACUGAGACACGGCCCGGACUCCUACGGGAGGCAGCAGUGGGGAAUAUUGGACCAAGGGGGAAACCUUGAUCCAGCCACGCCGCGUGAGGAAGAAGGCCUUUUUGGGUGUAAAGCAUUUGAAGCUAGUGAAGAAGCACCUACCAGGUUAAAACUCCGUUAUGCGAUGACAUUACCUGCCCAAUAAGCACCGGCUAACUCUGUGCCAGCAGCCGCGGUAAUACAGUAGGGGGCAAGCGUUAUUCGGAAUUACUGGGCGUAAAGCGAGCGCAGGCGGUUUAAUAAGUCAGAUGUGAAAUCCCCGGGCUCAACCGGGAAGGGCCUCUGAUACUGUGAGACUAGAGUACGGAAGAGAGAAGUAGAAUUCCAGGUGUAGCCGUGAAAAGGGUAGGGAUCGGGAAGAAUCCCCAUGGCGAAGGCAGCUUCUUGGCAUCAUACUGACACUGAGGCUCGAAANGACGG